Molecule: long non-coding RNA, 247 nt
Filed under: Physcomitrium patens
Lineage: Eukaryota; Viridiplantae; Streptophyta; Bryopsida; Funariales; Funariaceae
Description: long non-coding RNA (PPAT_LNC012260)
Source: RNAcentral
UGUUUCUCCUACCGUUUUAUCUAUCCUACUAUUAAUUAUAUCUCUAACUAUCCUUUUAUCCGCCUCUACAUACUAAUCCACCUAUACCAAUAAUUAAUCCCAAGAAAAAAUUGAAAUCCAUCUCGGAUUUUAAAUAUAAUAUAGCCAAAAUCGAUUCCUAUUGAUACAUGUACUAAAUUGAUGGCCCAUGAAAUCUUCCAAUUGAACUGACCCAUUGAAAAAUCCUUCAACCACGUAAUAUAGACCA